This 253-nucleotide ribosomal RNA is filed under the name uncultured bacterium. RNAcentral's name for it is "partial 16S ribosomal RNA". It matches the Rfam family "Bacterial small subunit ribosomal RNA", at positions 524 to 776 of the family's 1533-position model. The record is from RNAcentral.
UACGUAGGCAGCGAGCGUUGUUCGGAGUUACUGGGCGUAAAGGGUGCGUAGGCGGUUGUUUAAGUUUGGUGUGAAAUCUCCCGGCUCAACUGGGAGGGUGCGCCGAAUACUGAAUGACUAGAGUGCGGGAGAGGAGAGUGGAAUUCCUGGUGUAGCGGUGAAAUGCGUAGAUAUCAGGAGGAACACCGGUGGUGUAGACGGCUCUCUGGACCGUAACUGACGCUGAGGCACGAAAGCGUGGGGAGCAAACAGG